Molecule: ribosomal RNA, 406 nt
Filed under: uncultured bacterium
Lineage: Bacteria
Description: partial 16S ribosomal RNA
Rfam family: Bacterial small subunit ribosomal RNA
Source: RNAcentral
AUUGAACGCUGGCGGCAGGCCUAACACAUGCAAGUCGAGCGAGCGGCGGACGGGUGAGUAAUGUCUGGGGAACUGCCUGAUGGAGGGGGAUAACUACUGGAAACGGUAGCUAAUACCGCAUACUAUCAGAUGUGCCCAGAUGGGAUUAGCUGGUAGGUGGGGUAAUGGCUCACCUAGGCGACGCUACCUAGCUGGCAUGAGAGGAGGACAAGCCAAACUGGAACUGAGACACGGUCCAGACUCCUACGGGAGGCAGCAGUGGGGAAUAUUGCACAAUGGGCGCAAGCCUGAUGCAGCCAUGCCGCGUGUAUGAAGAAGGCCCUCGGGUUGUAAAGUACUUUCAGCGGGGAGGCGUUACCCACAGAAGAAGCACCGGCUAACUCCGUGCCAGCAGCCGCGGUAAUAC